This 203-nucleotide long non-coding RNA is filed under the name Mytilus galloprovincialis (Mediterranean mussel). Lineage: Eukaryota; Metazoa; Mollusca; Bivalvia; Mytilida; Mytilidae. The record is from RNAcentral.
GGGGGGGGGGUUGAUUAUAUGUCAUUAAAAAGCAUUCUUAAUAACAUCUUGAUGUAAAUAAAAACAUUGGCAUAUAUCAUUGUUGAUGUGUGCAAAUCAGCUUGUUUGAAUUGUUUUACAAUUAGUCAUUUCUGGACCUUUUUACAGCACACUAUAUAUGCAUGGGUUAUAUUCAAUCUUGUAGGCUGUAUUGUGACCUUCAG